GUUUAUUUAUUUCAAUCUGGUAAAAUGGGUUGGGUUGGUUGUGCAAGUCACACAUUGUAUAUCUUACUUGAAGUUUCUCAGGUGCUGCUGCUUUAUUCUUCUAGUGUGUAUGUACUCACUUUCAGAGGAUCUAUAUAAAUGAUAUUCUUUUUCCUUGUAUCCAAAAUCUGCAAUGAAAACCCUAAUUUCUUAAAGUUCCUUAGCCAGAGUUUACAUUACAUUAUUUUACAAGUUUUUAUAUCACAGGCAAUUUCUAAUUGAUUUGUG
Molecule: long non-coding RNA, 267 nt
Filed under: Mytilus galloprovincialis (Mediterranean mussel)
Lineage: Eukaryota; Metazoa; Mollusca; Bivalvia; Mytilida; Mytilidae
Source: RNAcentral